GACGAACGCUGGCGGCGUGCUUAACACAUGCAAGUCGAACGGAAAGGCCCUGCGGGGUACUGGAGUGGGGAACGGGUGGGUAACACGUGGGUGAGAUGCCCCGCACUUUGGGAUAAGAAUGGGAAACUGGGGCUAAUACUAACUAGGACCACGCGCUUCAGGGAGUGGGGGGGCAUGGGUUGGCGGCGUGGGAUGGGCCCGCGGCCUAUCAGCUUGAUGGUGGGGGAAUGGCGUACCAAGACGACGACGGGUAGCCGGCCUGAGAGGGGGAGCGGCCACACUGGGACUGAGAUACGGCCCAGACUCCUACGGGAGGCAGCAGUGGGGAAUAUUGCACAAUGGGCGCAAGCCUGAUGCAGCGACGCCGCGUGUGGGAUGACGGCCUUCGGGUUGUAAACCGCUUUCAAUUGGGACGAAGCGCAAGUGACGGUACCUACAGAAGAAGCACCGGCUAACUACGUG
Molecule: ribosomal RNA, 462 nt
Filed under: uncultured bacterium
Lineage: Bacteria
Description: partial 16S ribosomal RNA
Rfam family: Bacterial small subunit ribosomal RNA
Source: RNAcentral